AGCUCCAAUAGCGUAUAUUUAAGUUGUUGCAGUUAAAAAGCUCGUAGUUGGAUUUCGGGCGAAUCGACGCGGUCUGCCUCUGGUACGUACUGCGCCCGGUUCGCCUUUCUGUCGGGGACUGGCUCCUGGGCUUCACUGUCCGGGACUAGGAAUCGACGAGGUGACCUUGAGCAAACAAGAGUGUUCAAAGCAAGCCUACGCUCUGAAUUUUUUAGCAUGGAAUCACACGAUAGGACUCUGGCCUAUCU
RNAcentral lists this ribosomal RNA (248 nucleotides) under uncultured Chlorophyceae. RNAcentral's name for it is "partial small subunit ribosomal RNA". It matches the Rfam family "Eukaryotic small subunit ribosomal RNA", at positions 587 to 840 of the family's 1831-position model. The record is from RNAcentral. Lineage: Eukaryota; Viridiplantae; Chlorophyta; Chlorophyceae.